CAGUAGCCACGGGAAUACGGAGGAUCCAAGCGUUAUCCGGAAUCAUUGGGUUUAAAGGGUCCGUAGGCGGUCUUGUAAGUCAGUGGUGAAAGCCCAUCGCUCAACGGUGGAACGGCCAUUGAUACUGCAGGACUUGAAUUAUUGGGAAGUAACUAGAAUAUGUAGUGUAGCGGUGAAAUGCUUAGAGAUUACAUGGAAUACCAAUUGCGAAGGCAGGUUACUACCAAUUGAUUGACGCUGAUGGACGAAAGCGUGGGUAGCGAACAGGAUUAGAUACCCGAGUAGUCCCUGUCUCUUAUAC
RNAcentral lists this ribosomal RNA (301 nucleotides) under uncultured bacterium. RNAcentral's name for it is "partial 16S ribosomal RNA". It matches the Rfam family "Bacterial small subunit ribosomal RNA", at positions 509 to 807 of the family's 1533-position model. The record is from RNAcentral.